GUAGGUGGCAAGCGUUGUCCGGAAUUAUUGGGCGUAAAGCGCGCGCAGGCGGUUCUUUAAGUCUGAUGUGAGAGCCCACGGCUCAACCGUGGAGGGUCAUUGGAAACUGGAGAACUUGGGUACAGAAGAGGAAAGCGGAAUUCCACGUGUAGCGGUGAAAUGCGUAGAGAUGUGGAGGAACACCAGUGGCGAAGGCGGCUUUCUGGUCUGUAACUGACGCUGAGGCGCGAAAGCGUGGGGAGCAAACAGGGAUUAGAUACCCUGGUAGUCCACGCCGUAAACGAUGAGUGCUAAGUGUUAGGGGGGUUUCCGCCCCCUUAGUGCUGCAGCUAACGCAUUAAGCACUCCGCCUGGGGAGUACGGCCGCAAGGCUG
RNAcentral lists this ribosomal RNA (374 nucleotides) under uncultured organism. Its description in RNAcentral is "partial 16S ribosomal RNA". It matches the Rfam family "Bacterial small subunit ribosomal RNA", at positions 527 to 896 of the family's 1533-position model. The record is from RNAcentral.